This 253-nucleotide ribosomal RNA is filed under the name uncultured bacterium. RNAcentral describes it as "partial 16S ribosomal RNA". It matches the Rfam family "Bacterial small subunit ribosomal RNA", at positions 524 to 776 of the family's 1533-position model. The record is from RNAcentral.
UCCAGAGGUCUCAAGCGUUGUUCGGAUUCAUUGGGCGUAAAGGGUGCGUAGGCGGCGCUGUACGUCGGGUGUGAAAUUUCGGAGCUUAACUCCGAAACUGCAUUCGAUACUGCGGUGCUUGAGGACUGGAGAGGAGACUGGAAUUCAUGGUGUAGCAGUGAAAUGCGUAGAGAUCAUGAGGAAGACCAGUGGCGAAGGCGGGUCUCUGGACAGUUCCUGACACUGAGGCACGAAGGCCAGGGGAGAAAACAGG